UUCGCAAUGCCCGAAAGGGUGACGAAGCGACGCCGCGUGAGCGAAGAAGGCCUUAGGGUUGUAAAGCUCUGUCGAGGGUUAUGAAAUGUAAACAGGUUAAUACCCUGUUUAUUUGGCAAAAGCCCAAAAGGAAGCCACGGCUAACUCUGUGCCAGCAGCCGCGGUAAUACAGAGGUGGCGAGCGUUGUUCGGUAUUAUUGGGCGUAAAGAGCACGUAGGUGGUUUUGUAAGUCAGGUGUGAAAGCCUUCUGUUCAAAGGAAGAACGGCAUCUGAAACUGCAGAUCUUGAGUGUAGGAGGGGAGAGUGGAACUUCUGGUGGAGCGGUGAAAUGCGUAGAUAUCAGAAGGAACGUCGGCGGCGAAAGCGACUCUCUGGCCUAUUACUGACACUGAGGUGCGAAAGUUAGGGGAGCAAACGGGAUUAGAUACCCCGGUAGUCCUAACCGUAAACGAUGGGCACUAAGUAGAGGGGUUUU
RNAcentral lists this ribosomal RNA (476 nucleotides) under uncultured anaerobic ammonium-oxidizing bacterium. RNAcentral's name for it is "bacterial SSU rRNA". It matches the Rfam family "Bacterial small subunit ribosomal RNA", at positions 365 to 832 of the family's 1533-position model. The record is from RNAcentral.